UACGAAGGGUGCAAACGUUGCUCGGAAUUAUUGGGCGUAAAGCGCACGUAGGCGGCUUAGCAAGUCGGAUGUGAAAGCCCUCGGCUCAACCAAGGAAGUGCAUCCGAAACUGCUGAGCUUGAGUACUUAAGAGGAUCGCGGAAUUCCCGGUGUAGAGGUGAAAAUUCGUAGAUAUCAGGAGGAACACCAGUGGCGAAGGCGGCUUUCUGGACGGUAACUGACGCUGGAGACGCGAAAGCGUGGGGAGCAAACAGG
Molecule: ribosomal RNA, 255 nt
Filed under: uncultured bacterium
Lineage: Bacteria
Description: partial 16S ribosomal RNA
Rfam family: Bacterial small subunit ribosomal RNA
Source: RNAcentral